Molecule: ribosomal RNA, 253 nt
Filed under: uncultured bacterium
Lineage: Bacteria
Description: partial 16S ribosomal RNA
Rfam family: Bacterial small subunit ribosomal RNA
Source: RNAcentral
UACGUAGGGUGCGAGCGUUGUCCGGAAUUAUUGGGCGUAAAGGGCUCGUAGGCGGUUUGUCGCGUCGGGAGUGAAAACCAUGGGCUUAACUCAUGGCUUGCUUCCGAUACGGGCAGACUAGAGGUAUGCAGGGGAGAACGGAAUUCCUGGUGUAGCGGUGAAAUGCGCAGAUAUCAGGAGGAACACCGGUGGCGAAGGCGGUUCUCUGGGCCUUACCUGACGCUGAGGAGCGAAAGCAUGGGGAGCAAACAGG